Molecule: long non-coding RNA, 358 nt
Filed under: Ananas comosus (pineapple)
Lineage: Eukaryota; Viridiplantae; Streptophyta; Magnoliopsida; Poales; Bromeliaceae
Description: long non-coding RNA (ACOM_LNC018833)
Source: RNAcentral
UAGUAUUAUAUAUUUAAAUGAUAGAAAAUAUAUCAUCUUAUAAAAAGAGUACUGAUGAUACUAAUCGUUAAAUUUAUUUAGUAAAUAAUAAUUAAAAUUAACAUGUAUUUUUUCGGCCAAUGGUAAAACUUGCUAUUUCAAUGGCAUCACCCACCUUAUAGAAAAUAAUAACCUUUUCAAAUUUCACCCUCCUUAUCAUCUUAUUAAAGUAAUCUCAUCUAUGCAAGUGUCAUAAUGAUGUUACUCGAGCUUCAAAUUUGGGAUUUGAAAACAAAAUGUCAGAGGCAUAGGUCUAGAUGUUGACUAUUCUGACCCUGUCAUGUUGUUACUACAGCAAUAGGCAAUAGUUACGAUUUGG